Molecule: ribosomal RNA, 912 nt
Filed under: uncultured archaeon
Lineage: Archaea
Description: bacterial SSU rRNA
Rfam family: Archaeal small subunit ribosomal RNA
Source: RNAcentral
UCAAGUGGUCGGGAUGAUUAUUGGGCCUAAAGCAUCCGUAGCUCGUUUUGUAAGUUUUCGGUUAAAUCCAUGCGCUCAACGUAUGGGCUGCCGGGAGUACUGCAUAACUAGGAAGUGGGAGAGGUAGACGGUACUCGGUAGGAAGGGGUAAAAUCCUUUGAUCUAUUGACGACCACCUGUGGCGAAGGCGGUCUACCAGAACACGUUCGACGGUGAGGGAUGAAAGCUGGGGGAGCAAACCGGAUUAGAUACCCGGGUAGUCCCAGCUGUAAACUAUGCAAACUCAGUGACGCAUUGGCUUGUGGCCAAUGCAGUGCUGCAGGGAAGCCGUUAAGUUUGCCGCCUGGGAAGUACGUACGCAAGUAUGAAACUUAAAGGAAUUGGCGGGGGAGCACCACAAGGGGUGAAGCCUGCGGUUCAAUUGGAGUCAACGCCAGAAAUCUUACCCGGAGAGACAGCAGAAUGAAGGUCAAGCUGAAGACUUUACCAGACAAGCUGAGAGGUGGUGCAUGGCCGUCGCCAGCUCGUGCCGUGAGAUGUCCUGUUAAGUCAGGUAACGAGCGAGAUCCCUGCCUCUAGUUGCCACCAUUACUCUCAGGAGUAGUGGGGCGAAUUAGCGGGACCGCCGCAGUUAAUGCGGAGGAAGGAAGGGGCCACGGCAGGUCAGUAUGCCCCGAAACUCUGGGGCCACACGCGGGCUGCAAUGGUAGUGACAAUUGGUUCCGAAUCCGAAAGGAGGAGGUAAUCCCUAAACGCUACCACAGUUAUGACUGAGGGCUGCAACUCGCCCUCACGAAUAUGGAAUCCCUAGUAACCGCGUGUCAUUAUCGCGCGGUGAAUACGUCCCUGCUCCUUGCACACACCGCCCGUCGUUUCAUUGAAGUUUGCUUUUAGCGAGGUGACGUCUGAUUG